AGUGAACGCUGGCGGUAGGCCUAACACAUGCAAGUCGAACGGCAGCACAGUAAGAGCUUGCUCUUACGGGUGGCGAGUGGCGGACGGGUGAGGAAUACAUCGGAAUCUACUUUUUCGUGGGGGAUAACGUAGGGAAACUUACGCUAAUACCGCAUACGACCUACGGGUGAAAGCAGGGGAUCUUCGGACCUUGCGCGAUUGAAUGAGCCGAUGUCGGAUUAGCUAGUUGGCGGGGUAAAGGCCCACCAAGGCGACGAUCCGUAGCUGGUCUGAGAGGAUGAUCAGCCACACUGGAACUGAGACACGGUCCAGACUCCUACGGGAGGCAGCAGUGGGGAAUAUUGGACAAUGGGCGCAAGCCUGAUCCAGCCAUACCGCGUGGGUGAAGAAGGCCUUCGGGUUGUAAAGCCCUUUUGUUGGGAAAGAAAAGCAGCAGGUUAAUACCCCGCUGUUCUGACGGGACCCAAAGAAUAAGCACCGGCGAACUUCGG
This 491-nucleotide ribosomal RNA is filed under the name uncultured bacterium. RNAcentral's name for it is "partial 16S ribosomal RNA". It matches the Rfam family "Bacterial small subunit ribosomal RNA", at positions 29 to 506 of the family's 1533-position model. The record is from RNAcentral.